This 111-nucleotide ribosomal RNA is filed under the name Caerostris darwini. The record is from RNAcentral. Lineage: Eukaryota; Metazoa; Arthropoda; Arachnida; Araneae; Araneidae.
ACGGGCGUACCAUGCUGAAUAUACCGGUUCUCGUUAGAUCACCGAAGUUAAGCAUCAUUGGGCGCGGUCAGUACUUGGGUGGGUGACCACCUGGGAACACUGCGUGCCGUU